UCCCUAAUAGCUCAGCUGGUAAAGAAUCUGCCUAUAAUGCAACGCAGGAGACCUUGGUUCGAUUCCUGGUUUGGGAA
This 77-nucleotide transfer RNA is filed under the name Ovis aries (sheep). It matches the Rfam family "tRNA". From Rfam's summary of the family: Transfer RNA (tRNA) molecules are approximately 80 nucleotides in length. The record is from Rfam by way of RNAcentral. Lineage: Eukaryota; Metazoa; Chordata; Mammalia; Artiodactyla; Bovidae.